RNAcentral lists this ribosomal RNA (339 nucleotides) under Anoplobistus cf. siebersi SB0470. Its description in RNAcentral is "partial small subunit ribosomal RNA". Lineage: Eukaryota; Metazoa; Arthropoda; Insecta; Phasmatodea; Aschiphasmatidae. The record is from RNAcentral.
GUUAUGUUCUUUAAAUUUAAUAAAUUUGGCGGUGUUUUAUUCCUAUUAGAGGAACUUGUCUUUUAAUCGAUAUUCCUCGUUUUAUCUUACUUUAAUUAUUAUUUUGUAUAUCUCCGUUAUAAGUUUAUUUUUUUAGAUAAUUUAAUUUACUAAUAAUUUUGAUUUAUUAUAUUUCAGGUCAAGGUGCAGAUUAUAUUAAAGGAUAGAUUAGUUACACUUUUUUUAGAUAAACUAUUUUUUUAUUUAUAAUUUUUAAUAUAGGUGGAUUUAAUAGUAAUUUUGGUAAUAUAACUUUUUUGAUUUAGGUUUUAAAAUGAGCACACAUCGCCCGUCGCUCUA